This 253-nucleotide ribosomal RNA is filed under the name uncultured bacterium. RNAcentral's name for it is "partial 16S ribosomal RNA". It matches the Rfam family "Bacterial small subunit ribosomal RNA", at positions 524 to 776 of the family's 1533-position model. The record is from RNAcentral.
UACGGGGGGGGCAAGCGUUGUUCGGAAUUACUGGGCGUAAAGGGCUCGUAGGCGGCCAACUAAGUCAGACGUGAAAUCCCCCGGCUUAACCUGGGAACUGCGUCUGAUACUGGAGGGCUUGAGUAUGGGAGAGGGAUGUAGAAUUCCAGGUGUAGCGGUGAAAUGCGUAGAUAUCUGGAGGAAUACCGGUGGCAAAGGCGGCAUCCUGGACCAUUACUGACGCUGAGGCGCGAAAGCUAGGGGAGCAAACGGG